This 465-nucleotide ribosomal RNA is filed under the name Vreelandella stevensii. RNAcentral's name for it is "partial 16S ribosomal RNA". It matches the Rfam family "Bacterial small subunit ribosomal RNA", at positions 338 to 795 of the family's 1533-position model. Lineage: Bacteria; Pseudomonadati; Pseudomonadota; Gammaproteobacteria; Oceanospirillales; Halomonadaceae. The record is from RNAcentral.
CCUACGGGGGGCUGUAGUGGGGAAUAUUGGACAAUGGGCGAAAGCCUGAUCCAGCCAUGCCGCGUGUGUGAAGAAGGCCUUCGGGUUGUAAAGCACUUUCAGUGGGGAAGAAAGCCUUGGGGCUAAUACCCUCGAGGAAGGACAUCACCCACAGAAGAAGCACCGGCUAACUCCGUGCCAGCAGCCGCGGUAAUACGGAGGGUGCGAGCGUUAAUCGGAAUUACUGGGCGUAAAGCGAGCGUAGGCGGUCUGAUAAGCCGGUUGUGAAAGCCCCGGGCUCAACCUGGGAACGGCAUCCGGAACUGUCAGGCUAGAGUGCAGGAGAGGAAGGUAGAAUUCCCGGUGUAGCGGUGAAAUGCGUAGAGAUCGGGAGGAAUACCAGUGGCGAAGGCGGCCUUCUGGACUGACACUGACGCUGAGGUGCGAAAGCGUGGGUAGCAAACAGGAUUAGAUACCCGAGUAGUC